Molecule: long non-coding RNA, 10777 nt
Filed under: Nicotiana benthamiana
Lineage: Eukaryota; Viridiplantae; Streptophyta; Magnoliopsida; Solanales; Solanaceae
Description: long non-coding RNA (NBEN_LNC034145)
Source: RNAcentral
UGAGCACCUAGGAAAAAAAGGCCAUAUGCAGAUAAUGACGAACCAUAAGACUGAAUUACCUCGGAUGCUUGUGCCCACAAGAAAUCGCGGAGCCACCUAUUAAUAGUAAUAGAACUUUACGCAAAGUUUCCUCCCGUGAUAUGAGUUACUACCCCUUGAUCACUUACACUGCCCCAAACAUCUGACUGCAUUUUCCAACUGAAAUGGAAUAUUACUACCGAAAUUGCAUUGUACAUCCAGAAUAGUCUUAAGAAGACAUGAUCCCAGGCCGAUACUUGAUAUGUACCCCCUCUUCCAGGUCCAUCACAAGGAAAACGAAAACCAAAAUUUACUUUAUCCGGUAUCAAACGGGAACUGCGAGCAAAUAGAACACCUUUCAAGUGUAUCAAUAUCUUCACAUGAAUCGUAAAUGCAUGAAUGUGAUGUACCAAAAAAUCCGCGGUUCCUAAUGGAAUAGGCAACAAAGCCACCUUGCCACCCACUGCCACUAAAUCACCACCCCCUCCCCAAGUUAAACUGGUACUUGCUGUUGCACCAGGAGCCGUAUUUAGUUACAGUUGUAAUAUCUCUAGGAAACACAAGUUCAAAUAAUUUCCUAUGUAUAAAGGUUAUAAUAAAAAAACUAACAAAUACUAGAAAGCAGUAAAACUAUCAUUUAACAAGAAUAAGGAUUAGAACAAGAUUAAGGAGGUCUAGAGCUAUGAUUUUCCCAACUGUCGAAAUCCUUCCUGGUUUGUCUUUUAUAAUUUCGCCUAAGUAUCUCUAUUGAUCGUGGGUACUUCGGGUGUCAUAGUUCUAUUCCGAGCAACUACCACAAUUUACUAGACAUAUUCUUCCGGCCUACGCUAGCUGGCAUUAGUUUACCUCUCACUAAGAUCGCAUCAAUGUUUCGUUAUUCAUAAUCCCACCUUUAAACCUUUCGUAUUGAUUCAUCAAAUACGUUAGUAGUAAUGUUGUUCAACAUCUACCUAAAUAUGUAUCAAUUUCCAAGCAAUACAUACUAAAUAGGCACAAUCAAUUGAUGGUCAUUCAAUCAAAAACAAUAAACACGUAGUUGAAUAAAUAGAGAAACCUAAUGGCUCAAUUAUAUAAAAGCAUAAUAAGAGUUUAUCCUACAAAAGGUUUUAUCAAAAUUCUAGAUAACAAAUUAGAUAUUCAUAAUAGUAUGCAUAACUACAGUAAUAGAAUUCAUAACCAAAAAAUAGAAAUAGAAAGAAGGAACUGAAAAACUCGUAGAAGAAUUCUCCACCUUGCUCUGAGUUUGUUCUUGCCUCUUUAGGUUUAAAUUUUCAUAAAAAUAGUGUUUAAUAACUAUUUAUACACGUAGGGAAAAGAUUUAGAUGAAAUAAUCAAUUUCAAAAAAAAAAAGACAAAAUAGGCUUUAAACCCCGAAACACGCAUCAAAUCGCGGCAGACCGAGUCUAGCGAGCUCAAACAUAAGCUCCAUCUCGUUGUAGCCCUCGCGUCGCCUGCUCUAACGAGAGUUAAAUAGCUCACUACGCCUGCUGCUUCGUUUCUCAUUCUUCAAUUUCAAUAUGGAGGUCUUUUGUUAGUGCUAGUUGCCUAACACUCCCACUUCUUUCUUUUGCUUUCCAAUUUCAUCUUACAUCAAUUUUCACACAUUAUCCUUGAAUAAAUUUAUCUUCAAUCAUUAUCCAAUCAUGAUAUCAUAAUAUUUUCUAUCGUUAAAUAAUCACAAGCCAUUCUUGUAGUGCAUAAGUUAGACAUAAAAUCUUUACUUUGAUUUCAAUUUCAUCUUCAAUGUACUUACACAUAAAAUAAAUUCAAUUAAGUAUAAAUAUAGUAUAAUUUAGCAUUAAAACACCUAAAUGUAAAGUAAGUAAUAUACUAAAAAUAUAUAAUUAUUGCCAAACAUCACCACCCUACACUUAAACGUUGCUUGUCUUCGAGUCAACCAACAAUUCACCACUAUAGAGACACACUACACCAAUAAUUAUAGUUGAUAUCAACAAUUAAGCUAGAGCAGAUGCCUACAACGCUUCCCUUUACUCUAUGCCAUACUUUAAAAAUUUAUUCAGCAAUAAGACAACUUGCUUAUAACUGUCAUAGCCUCACAAAACGACUCAAUGUCACAAUGCACUCAAUAGCUUGAACACUCAACAUCGUAGAGAAAUCUAAUAACGUCACAUAUCCUUUGUGAAACCAUGUACCCUCAAAACAAGAGCAAGAGGGUAAGUUGAAUCCACACAUUUACUUGUGGGAUUUUAGUGGGUAGGUUGUUGUUGUUGUUGUUUGGUGUAUCCUUUUACUAAACAAGUGCACAUUUCUUCUUUUCAUUGGUUCCACUCAAAAGUCACCCCACACUUAGUCUCUUCUUACUCCUUUGGGCGCUCAUCUCACAAAUAAAGUGUUUAAGAGGUAAAUGAUCAAAAUAGUAUCACUUAAGAAUAAAAAGAGUUAGAUUUGUAAUGUGAAUGCCAAAUAAAAAUCUGUAGGCUCAAAUGAGUUAACUAGCGAUAGAUUUUAUUUGUGACGGUGAUAAUGCUCAAAAAAUCAAAGAAAUAUUAAAAUUAUUUUUUAAACUGAGCAUCACCUCAAAUUUUACUUCAACUCACAUACCAAGCAAGUUCUAGACACAAGUACAAUGACAUGAACUACACAAAAAAUCUUACCACAAAUGGCACAUGAUUCACUAAGGGCUUUUAUCUCAUUCAGACUCUCAACUAAUGCAAGUAUUCACAAAGCCACGAAUUAUUAAGCAUUAAGCAUAAAGUGAGAAAUCGUUAAGAGAAUAAGACAUAUGCGUCAAUAACAUGCUAUACAAUUCAUCACAACAUGAUAAAUUUUAACACAAAGGUACGUUACUACACAUGCCAAAGACCAAAAUUAUCAAACAAGUCAAAGGCACCAGGAAUCUCAUCUUUCUUCCCUCAUUUAUUUUAUAAAUUCUAAUCUACUCUAAAAUAAUAAAAAAUUAAAGAAAAAACUAUUACUCAGUUCAAACUACAUCUGAUGAAAAAAAUUGAGGCACAAAGAAAAAUCAAAGGAGAUCAUUACUACUUUAAAAAAACUAAAAGAUAUAUUUUUGGAUUUUUAUUUAGACUUUAAUCCCUCAAGAAAACUGCUUAGGAGAUCCAUAGUCGGGGCAAGUUUUAUUUUCUUAUUAUUAUUUUCCAUAUUUAAAAAAUAAAAAAAUAAAUUAAGCUACAAAAAUAUUACACAACUAUGAAAACAAAUAUAAGAAGCUAAAAUCAAAAUAAGAAGUUAACAUUUUCAAACAUACUACUAAUUAUCUAGAGGAAUUCUUCCACUCCACACUUAAAGAAGUGAAAUGUCCCCACUGUAAAACUAAAGAAAAACAAUAAUAAGGGUAGACAAGAAACUCCCUGAAAAGGCCAAAAGAACGAAGCAAUAGUGGCUCGCGGGUACUUGGACUUCCCCUAUGCAUGGUUUUUUGUGUAGGUAUCUCACACUUAGUUCUCACCAUCUAACUUGCUUUUGCACUCUUCUAAUGUUUUUACCUCCUACGCUUAUAAUCCUACAAACCAAAAACAAACACUACAAUAAUAAUAAGAUAAAAAAAUAAAAAUAAAAAUAUGCAGUAAAGAUGGGUUGCCUCCCAACAAGCAUCUGAUUUAACGUCGCAGUACGAUUUGCACUACUUUUUGCCUCCACCUUGAACUUAUGAAUUGGACCCAAGUUUUGAUUCUGCUCUAUGAUCAUGCUCUUGGGGCGAUGCAAAUUGUUGCGAGCCAAAAAUGAAAUAAUUUUUUAUGCACUUUUUGGUUUUAAACUGAGGAGUGUCAUUUUGCCUUGACGGCCUUGAAAAUUUUAUAAUAUAGAGCUCAUCUACCACUUCAUUUGACUCUUGCAUUGGCUCAUACAGAUGAAUUUCCAUUUCACCAUAUGAAAAUAAUGUAGAGAAGUGUUUGGAAUGAGGUCCAACGCGCUCAAAUAUAUGAAUUCCAAGAUUUUUAAUCUCUUCAACACCACACUAGAGUCAACUAAACUUGUAUCUUCAACAUCCCUGGUUGAAUUUAAUAUUAUUUCUUCAACAUCGACAUCCUCAAAUUUUAGUUGGUUAGAUUGUUGGUUUUCUACUCUGACCUCCUCCAUUUUCACCUCAAUUUCAGCAUCUAUUUCAUGGUCUUCUUGGCUAUUAUCCACAAUAUUGGUUUGUUGAGCAUUAAAUGCCUCAAUUAGUUGACUCAUUUGUGCCUUCAGGUUGCGUAUAACAGCUUCUUGCCUUUGUAAGUGCAGUUAUUUCUCAUUAUUUUAUUCCACAAGGCACCUUAGCAUAUCAUUGAUCUCUUUCAAGUCAUCAUCCGUGGGUUCUUUGAUCCUAUUAACUUUAGAAGAAAAAGAAGAACCAUCAAAUUAAGGAGUUAGAGAAAGAUUGUCAACAAAAACAACCCAGUAUAAUCCCACUUAGUGGGGUCUGGGGAAGGUAGUAUGUACGCAGACCUUACCCCUACCAUGGGGUAGAGAGGCUGUUUCCAAAUAGACCCCUGGCAUCCUUCCCUACAAGCACUUCCUACCUUCCUCUUGGGGAGACUUGAACUCACAACCUCUCGGUUGGAAGUGGCGGUUGCUUACCAUCAGAGCAAAGAUUGUCACUACCCAGAUUUUCCACCCUUGAGAGUCGUUAUGGCGCAUACUCAUAGAAGCUAGGCAAGCCAUGGACUUAGAAAUCACUAACUCAUUUGUUUUAAAACUACUUGAAAAUUACAUUAGCAGGUGAUAAACAUGUAAAUAACAGCGGCAUUUUAGUUUAGCAGAAGUCUUAAAUAAAUAUAAACCCAAAACAUCUCGAAACAACACAUGUCUCUAACCAGAACCUAGUGUCACAACAUCCACGGACUACUAAGAGUACUACAUACAACAAUUUGAAGGAAAUAUAGUACUAUUUUUCUUGAAUACAUGAGAUAAUAGGAUAUAAAAUAAGAUAGAGGAGACGUCGGGCCUGCGGACGCCUGCAAGGCUACUUGGUGUCUUGAAGGACUGAAGGCUGGCUCCCGAACUACUGUCGCUAAUCAAAUGCUGCUCUGGUAUCUACACAGAGUGCAGAGUGUAGUAUCAGCGCAACCGACCCCAUAUGCUGGUAAGUGUCUGGCCUAACCCCGGCGAGGUAGUGAUGAGGCUAGGACCAGACUCCACAUAAAUCUGUGCAGUUAUAUGUAUAUACAGUGGAAAAUAGUCUGGAAUAACAAUUAAAGCUGGGAAGGGGAAACAUGCUUCAGGGGAUGACAGAUAAGAACAGAAUCUCAAGAGAAUUAUAAGGAAGACCAAAAUUUAACUUCUAACCUAUAUAAGGAGAAUAAAGACAGGGUUCACUUUCAAUUCACAUCUCAUUGCAGGCUGCAACCUGAUCUUAUUUCUCAUUUCUCGUGGUAGGCGUACCACCCGCUCCCAUUUCAAUAUAACUCGUGGUAGGCAUACCACCUGCAUCUAUUUCAUUAAACCUCAUGGAGCAUACCACCCGCUCCCAUUUUAUUAAAUCUCGUGGUAGGCGUACCACCCGCUCCCAUUUUAUUAAAUCUUGUGGUAGGCGUACCACGCGCUACCAUUUUAUUAAAUCUUGUGGUAGCCAUACCACCCGCUCCCAUUUCAUUAAAUCUUAUGGUAGGCGUGCCACCCACACCCAUUUCAAGCCAAUACAAAAUCACAAAGAAAUCCUGGCAAAGGAACAAGGUAAUAUAAUAACUUUUCGGCAAGGUAAAAAAGCAAUAUAAUAACUUCACGACAAGGGAACAAAGCAAUAUAAUAAAUUUCCGACAAGGGAAUAGCAAUAUUGAAACAAACAUCCCGGCAGGGGAGAAUCAUCUAUAACCAACCUUAACUCAACUUCUACUCAGCUCAAUUAACACCAAUACUUAGUCGUAAGUUAAUUCCAUGAAAAUAAACUAAAUCCUUGACCGAUAUCGAGAAUCACCAAUUAAAGCAACCGUAGAAUCAUUUAAGAACACAACAAUUAUCAAAUUAAGACUCACGGUCAUGCUCGACACCAAUGUAUAGAUACUCGUCACCAUGCCUAUACGUCGUACUCCAUAAGAAACAAUUAGCAAAUUGGACACAACUCCUAAUCCCUCAAGCUAAGGUUAGACCAGACACUUACCUCAAACUUUCACGGCUAACUCAAUCCUCAAACACCACUUUUCCUUUCAAAUUUGGCUCCAACCCAAUCGAAUCUAAACAUAAUCGAUUUAAAAAUAUCAAUAAUUACUAAAAAAAAAUCCAAUUCCAAUGCUUAAUUAUAGCUUUCUAAUUAUUAUUCCCAAAAAUCCAAAAAUCGAUCUGGGAUCCGCUUGGUAAAAACACACGGUUCAUACAAAAAUCAAAUCACUAAUUCACCCACAAGCCCAAAUAUAUAAUUAUUUCGCGAAUUCGACCUCAAAAUGAGGUCUAAAUCAUCAUUAAUCAAAAAGCCCUAGUUCUACCCAAAUUUCUAAUUUUCUACCCAUAAUCUCAUGUUUUAGGCAUAGAAAUCUUAUGGGUGAUGAUAGAAAUGGAAGAAAACAAGCUUAGGAUUACAUACCUAUAAAGUUAUGGUGAAUAAACUCUUCAAAAAUUACCCCAAGAGGUGUGGAGAAGAAGGAGUUAUGAAAUUUGUAAUAAUCCUGUAAGGCUACUAUUUUGGGUCUUUAAAAAUUACUGGCCAAAAAUGGUCUAUACGAUCAUGAAGAAUGUAGUGCGAUCACAUAGAGUAAGGAGAAAAUGGUCAUUGCAAUCGUAAAUAGAGCACUGCAAUCGCAUAGAAGAAACAUGCUAGGCAUUGCAAUCGCGAAUAGCACUAUGCGAUCGCAUAGAGGAAAAUAUAGGACCUCUCAGACUUAACAACAUAAGAUCGCAAGAGGAACUAUGCGAUCGCAUAGAACCAAACUGAACCCCUAAAAAUUACUCUAUGCGAUCGCGAUCCUACUUAUGCGAUCGCAUAGUACAAAUCACUGCACCAAAAGCUGCAAAAAAACCAAAUUUUUUCUAAGUUCAAAACACUCCGACACCUAUCCAAAACUCACCCGAGCCCUCGGGCUCCUAACCAAACAUACGAACUAACUCAAUAACAUCAUACAAACUUAUCUGUGUGAUAAAAUUGCUAAAAUAAUAUCAAUAUCAACAAAUUAAACCUCAAAAUCAAAGCAUUUUUCUCAAACUUCAUCAAGUAUCAAAUUUAGCAAUUCAAGUCCGAAUCACGUCAAACGACGUCCGUUUUUAACCAAAUUUUACAUGAGUGAUUUAAACCACAUAUAAGACCUGUACCGGACACUAGAACCAAAAUAUGGGCCCGAUACCAUCACUUUCUAAUCAGAUUUUAUUUUAGAUUUUCUUAAACAAUUUCAGAAAAUAAUUUCACUUAAAAAUUCAUUUCUCGGGCUUGUGGCAUUGAAAUUUGAUUCCGGACAUAUGCCCAAGUCUCAUAUUUUCCUACGUACCAUUCGGGACCGUCAAAUCACGGGUCUAGGUCCGUUUACCCAAAAUAUUGAUCGAAGUCAAAUUUACUUAUUUUAUAAUCAAAACUUAGCAUUUUUCAUAAAUUUUCAUAUUUAUGCUUUCCGGCUACACGCCCGGACUAUGCACGCAAAUUGAGAUAAUGAUAAAUGAGGUUUUUAAUGCCUCGAUGACACAAAAUUCAAUUAAAAUAGGUAAUGAUCCUUUGGGUCGCCACAUUCUCCACCUCUAAAAUAAUCGUUCGUCCUCGAACGGACAUAAGAAGGAAGUACCUGAGUCGAGAAAAAGAUGGGGAUAACGACUCCGCAUAUCGGACUCGGACUCCCAGGUUGAUGCCUCAGCAGGCUAACCUCUCCUCUAAACAUGAACAGAAGGAAAGCUCUUCGAUCUCAACUGACGAAUUUUCCAGCUAGAAUAGCUACCAACUCCUCCUCAUAAGACAAGUCCUUGUCCAACUGGACAGUGUUGAAAUCUAACACAUGGAAUGGAUCGCCGUGAUGCUUGUGAAGCAUGAACACAUGAAACACUAGAUGCACAACUGAUAAGGUAGGCGGUAAUGCAAGUCUAUAAGCCAUAUCUCCCACUCGAUCAAUAAUCUCAAUUGACCAACGAACCUAGGGCUAAGCUUUCCCUUCUUCCCAAAUCUCAUCAUGCCCUUCAAAGGCGACACUCGGAACAAUACCCACUCACUAAUCAUAAAAGCUACAUCUCAAACCUUGUGGUAUGCAUAACUCUUUUUCCUGGACUGAGCUAUACGAAGCCUAUCCUGAAUGAUCCUGACCUUUUCCAAGGCCUCCUGAACCAGAUCUGUACCCAGCAACCGAGCCUCCCCGGGCUCAAAUCAUCCAACCGAAGAUCGACACCGCCUACCAUAUAAAACCUCAUAAAGAUCCAUCUGGAUACUCGACUGGUAGUUGUUGUUGUUGGCAAACUCUGCUAAAGGAAAAUAUUGAUCUCACGAGCCUCCAAAGUCAAUGACACAAUCCCCGAGCAUAUCCUCUAAAAUAUGAAUAGUUCGCUCAGACUGCCCGUCCGUCUAGGGAUGAAAUGUUGUGCUCAACUCAACCUGUAUGCUCAAUUCUCGCUAAACUGCUCUUCAAAACCACGAGAUAAACUGCGUACCUUGGUACGAAAAAUAUGGGCACACCAUGAAGGCAAACAAUCUCCCGAAUAUAGAUCUCAGCCAACCUCUUAGAAGAAUAAGAGACUGCCACAGGAAUGAAAUGUGCUGACUUGGUCAGCCUAUCAACAAUGAGCCAUACUGCGUCGAGCUUCUUUCGAGUCUGCAGGAGUCUAGUAAUGAAGUCCAUAGUGAUCCGCUCCCAUUUCUACUGGGGAAGCUCAAUCUUCUAAAAUAAACCACCAGGCCUCUGAUGCUCGUACUUGACUUGCUGACAAUUCAAACACUAAGUCGUAUAUGCAACAAUAUCCUUCUUCAUUCUCCUCCACCAAUAAUGUUGCCACAAAUCCUGAUACAUUUUUGCGGCGCCCAGAUGAAUAGAGUACCAUGAGCUAUGGGCCUCCUCUAAAAUCAACUCUCGGAGCUCAUCCACAUUAGGCACACAUGCUCAACAAUGCAGUCUCAAAACUUCAUCAUCAUCUAAGGUAACCUUCCUAGCACCUCCGCGUUGCACCGUGUCUCUAAGGAUACACAAAUAAAGAUCAUCAUACUGCCGAUCACAAAUGUGCUCCAACAAUGAAGAAUGAUGACCGUGCAAGAUAACACACGACUAGGCUAAAAACAUCUAGUCUCAUGAACUGAUUGGCCAAAACUUGAACAUCCAAAGCAAGCUGCCUCUCACCGACUCGAAUAUAAGCAAGAUUUCCCAUACUGGCUGACUUCCUACUCAAAGCAUCGGCCACCACAUUGGCCUUUCCCGGGUGAUAUAAGAUGGCGAUAUCAUAAUCCUUCAACAACUCCAACCACCUUCUCUGCCUCAAAUUCAACUCUUUUGGUUGAACAAAUACUGAAGACUCUUAUGAUCUGUGAAUACCUCACAUGCCACGCCAUACUGAGAGUUCCUCCAAAUAUUCAAUGCAUUGUUGAUGGCUGCCAACUCUAUAUCAUGGACUGGAUAGUUCUUCUCAUGAACUUUCAACUGCCUCGAAGCAUAGGCAAUGACCUUGCCAUCCUGCAUCAACACUACACCAAGCCCAAUACGAGAAACAUCAAAAUAAACUGUAUAGGCCUUGAACCUAUGGGCAAAACCAACACUGGCGGUGUUGUCAGAGAUGUCUUGAGCUUCUGGCCUCACACUCAUCUGACCACCUGAACUGCACUUUUCUGGGUUAACCUAGUCAUCAGGGCUACAAUAGACGAAAACCUUCCCACGAACCGAUGAUAGUAGCCUGCCAACCCCAAGAAACUCCGAAUUUCUGUAGCUGAUGUUGGUCUAGGUCAGUUCUUGACCGCCUCAAUCUUCUUCGGAUUAACCUGAACACCCUCUGCUGACACAACAUGACCUAGAAAUACGACUGAACUCAACCAGAACUCACACUUCGAGAACUUGGCAUAUAACUCACUAUCCAUGAGAGUUUGAAGAACCACUCUAAGGUGAUGCUCGUGCUUCCCUUGAUUGCGAGAAUAUAUCAAGAUAUCAUAAAUUAAGACUAUCAUGAAUCCAAAUAAAGUCUAAAAACUCCAUCAAAUCCAUAAAAGUUGUUGGGGCAUUUUUCAACCCGAACGACAUAACAAAGAACUCAUAAUGCACGUAUUGAGUGCAGAUAGUUGUCUUAGGGACAUCAGAUACCUUAAUCCUCAACUGAUGGUAGCCAUAUCUCAACGCAAUCUUUGAAAAUACCCUGGUACCCAGAAGCUGAUCGAACAAAUCAUCAAUCCUCAACAACAAAUACUUAUUUUUGAUAGUAACCUUGUUCAAUCGCCGGUAAUCAAUACACAUUCUCAUUGACCCAUCCUUCUUUUUAACAAACAACAUUGCCGCACCCCAAGACAAAAUACUGGGUCUAAUGAAACCCUUCUCAAGCAAGUCUUGCAAUUUUGGCUUUAACACUUUCAACUCAGGCGGGUCCAUACGAUACGGUGGAAUAGAAAUGGGCUGAGUGCUCGGAGCCAUAUCAAUGUAAAAGUCAACAUCCCUGUCGGGCGGCAUACCUGGCAGGUUUGAAGGGAAAACAUCAAGAAACUCACGAACAACGAGAAUAGAGUCAAUAGAAGGGACCUCGAUACUAGAAUCACGAACAUAUGCCAAAUAGGUCAAACACCCCUUCUCGACCAUACACCGAGCCUUUACAUACGAGAUAACACUGCGGGUAGAAUGUCUAGGAGUCUAUCUCUACUCUAGACAAGGCAUACCCAGUAAAGCUAAGGUCACAAUCUUGGCAUGACAGUCCAAGAUAGCGUGGUAAGGUG